CCUACGGGUGGCAGCAGUGAGGAAUAUUGGGCAAUGGACACAAGUCUGAACCAGCCAUGCCGCGUGCAGGAAGACGGCUCUAUGAGUUGUAAACUGUUUUUGUAGGAGGGUAAACGCAGAUACGUGUAUCUGUCUGAAAGUAUCGUACGAAUAAGGAUCGGCUAACUCCGUGCCAGCAGCCGCGGUAAUACGGAGGAUUCAAGCGUUGUCCGGAUUGAUUGGGUUUAAAGGGUGCGUAGGCGGUCGGAUAAGUUAGAGGUGAAAUCCCGAGGCUCAACUUCGGAAUUGCCUGUGAUACUGUUCGGCUAGAGAGUAGGUGCGGUAGGCGGAAUGUAUGGUGUAGCGGUGAAAUGCUUAGAGAUCAUACAGAACACCGAUUGCGAAGGCAGCUUACCAAGCUACUUCUGACGUUGAGGCACGAAAGCGUGGGGAGCAAACAGGAUUAGAUACCCCUGUAGUC
This 460-nucleotide ribosomal RNA is filed under the name uncultured bacterium. Its description in RNAcentral is "partial 16S ribosomal RNA". It matches the Rfam family "Bacterial small subunit ribosomal RNA", at positions 338 to 795 of the family's 1533-position model. The record is from RNAcentral.